UCACCUCAGCCUCCAUGGAUGCCAUGGAUUCCAAUCUUAAAGGUCAAUUUUCUCAUCCUUUCUUCCAUUUUCCCGUUAGUUUUCAGAUUCUCAGGAUUUUCUUUGCCAAAGUUGGUUGAUUCUUCUGGGGUUUUGGUUUUGUUUUUCUUCUGCAGGGAUGGCUGUUGUGAUAAUGGGUGUCUGUGGGUCUGGGAAAUCGUAAGUCCUCAUUACCCAUUUCGCUACGUGUCCCUUGAACUUUCCGGGAAAUUCCAAUUUUCUCAUUAUGCCCAUCAUGCCCACCUUGUUUGGAUGCUUAGAAAAUUUGUUUACUUAUUUUCCUUCUGAUUUCUUGAAUGAUUGUUGACCUUGUUGUAUAGUCCAUACCUGUUGCCUUCGUUUGUUUGGGGAAAUUAGAAAUUCUGUCUUCAAUGAAGAUGACAUUGAAAACUGUUACAGAAAAUGCGAGAAUGUUGUCAUAUUUCAAUUAAAUUUAGGGUUUUAAUGAUUGAAAAUGAUCAAAGAUGACAAGUUCUGUUGUCUAUUUCAUCAUUUUCAUUUCCAAAUAGCGAGAAAAUUUUUGAAAAACUAAUCUUCAUUCUGCUACAAAACAUGCUUUUAGGGAUUUCAAAAUCUUUCCUCCACUGAAACCAAUCUGCAUUCGAUGCUUGAAAGGAAUCAUGUUUUGCUGUUGAUUGUCCAAAACCCGAAAAAUAUGUAGCUACACAUGCCUUGUAACAACUUUGGAAUGAUGGUUUUCUGUUUCAUUAAUCGUAGAUUGCAUCUUGGUAGAUGAACGUAGAUCGAUAUAAUGUUGGUUUUGUUUGGUUUCUGAGAAAAUGUAGGAAAAUAGAUGAAAUUACAACUUUUGAGUCUGAAUCUUAGUUUCUUCGUCAUUGGGACCUGAAAAAGAACAAUAAACUCCAUGCAGCUGAACCUAAUAUGAGAAUGUUGCCUGGAUGAAACAGAGAACAGAACAAAACCCUAGUCUCAUUUUUUUUCACUGCAUUUUCUUGACAAACAAACAGUAAUUUCUGCAUCUGCUCAUGUAUUGAAUGGUGUUUCAACAGUACAAUAGGGAAUAUGCUUGCAAAAGUCCUGAAUUGCAGCUUUCUUGAUGCUGAUGAUUUCCACCCAGAAUCAAAUAAAGGUAAAUACACAACUUCAUUCUAACAGUUGAGCAUGAAAUUAUAAUCCUACCGAAAAAUUUCAUCCUCAUUUCAUUGAAAUUGUCAUUUGUGCCACAAAACAGAUAAGAUGAAGAGAGGGAUUGCUCUAUCAGACAAAGACCGGAUUCCCUGGCUUGAAACACUAAGGAAUGCUCUAAGAGAGCACUUGCUUAGCAACAACACUGUGGUUCUCGGGUGCUCUGCCCUGCAGAAGAAUUACCGAGAAAUUCUUAGGUCUGCAGACCCUAACUAUGAGCAUGGAAGCUUUGAAAGCAUGGUGAAGUUUGUUUUGUUGGAUGCCCGGGCUGAGGUGAUAGCCGCUCGGCUAGAGAAAAGAGCAGCAGAAGGGAAUCAUUUCAUGCCUCCAAACCUUCUUCAGUCUCAGUUGGACUCACUUCAGCUUGAUCCUUCAGAAGGCAUACUCAAGGUUGAUGCUACUCAAAGUCCUGACGAUACUGUCAAUGGCAUACAAGCUCUGAUCUUCUGAUCGUCAAUUCCUCAGACAAAAAUUAGGUAUUCAAGACCUUAUCUAGUUGAGAUGAAAAGGAGUUUUAUUUUAUUUUAUUUUUUAUUUUUAUUUAAUCUAAUUCAAGUUGAAGAUGGCUCCAUCAAACAUGACUGAUUGGUUUCAAAGUCUCACCAGAUUCAUUUCCAUGUUUUUUUCGUCACUAGGUGUAAUUGAACCCGAGCAUUUGCCUUAUGAAUAUACAGACAGGAAGUGAAAAGGAAUCCAUAGGAAUGACACAGACUCAAAUGACAACAAUGGCAGGAAUCUAAAAUUGGUGAAAAAUAGAUUUUAUUUUGUAACUGAACAUCACUUCUUGAAAGUGCAAUGCCAUAGAUCUUGAUAAUUUUUGUUGGAUAUGAAUAAAAAUGUUUCUACUCGUGCUUGCCUUGGUUGUAAGGUGCUAAAAAAAUUAUGGUUCGGGAUUUAAAUAAGUCAAGAUCAAGAUAACAACAGCUUAUCAAAAGAAUGAACAUACCUAAAGGAUUUAUGCAGGUUUAGUAAAAGCUGCAUAUGCACAUCCUAUGCAGGUUAUGGUAGCAAAGAGGAGAAAUGGAAAAAAAAAGAGGCAAAAUAUGGUUUAAUUUUUUAGUUUCUUAUCAUUGUGGUUUUUGAGGAUACUAAUCGAUUGUCUAGUAUAAAGCCUAUUAUCACCCCUUGUGCAUGAGUGCUUAAGAAAAGCCAAAGUCAGUGACACUAUGUUUUAUUAUGCAAGCUACAUUGAGGGUGUCUUUUGGUAUGAGCCUAUCCUCACAUCCCAUGCAUAGAGGCCUAAGUUUAGGAGACUAUUGUCACAAGAUGAUUCAAAUGAGCCUCCCCAUGGGCUUAUAUAGAGCCAGGAAGCUUCUGGAGACUCCUAGAGUGGGAAGAGAGUGUGGAAGGUUCUAGAGAUGCCUGGAGGAAUCCACACAACUCUACACUAUGGUGGAAGACAUGAGAGGAGUCCACAGCCUUCUAAAGAAUUCCAGAGGUCUCUUGUAUAUUUUUGUACAUAGGCUUGUACCUAAAAUGAUGUUGGACAUUCUAGAAUAUACUUGAAUUGGAAGGAACCCUCCAAGGUUCCAGAGAGUUCCAUUGGUGCCUAUAAAUAGGUGAGGGCCUCAUUUGGCCAAGGCACCAAGCAAGUGAGUCUUCAAAACACUUGUAAAGGCUUCCUUGAGUAAUAAGAGCUUCCAUUCUCUAAGAGUUGCCUACUAAGCUUCUUAAGCUUUCGAGUUGUGAGCAUCUUAGCCUAGCAAGCUAAGCAUUGGGAGCAAGGCUGACUUAGCAAGAUCAAGUGUCUUGACUUGCCUAAGUGUCGCACGAGCUUAGUGAACGACUAAGUCCGUGACACUAUGCUUUGAUUGUCAUGGCUUGUUCUUGGGUGCUUAGGAGAAACAAAUUACGCAACACUAUGCUCCGGUAUGCAAGCUACAUUGAGAGGGUCUUUAUCAAGUUUAAAACUUGUCUAGUAUGGGUCUAUUGUCAUGCCCUAUCCAUGGGUGCUUAGGAGAAGUCUUAAGUUUGGGACACUGAUUGUCAUGCCUUGUGCUUGGGUGCUUAGUGAGAAACCUAAGUAUGCGACACCAUACUUUGAUAUGCAAGCUACAUUGAGGGUGUCUUUCUCAAGUUUAAAACUCGGCUAGUACAAGUCUAUUGUCAUGCUUUAUGGGUGCUCGGGAGAGGCCUAAGUUUCAUUUUGUCCAGCAUGAAGUUACUGUCAUGCCUUGUGGAUGGGUGUUUAGGAGAGGCCUAAGCUUGAGACGCCAUAAUCUCAGUUAUGCUGGUUUUAGGAAAGUAUUAAGAAAAAAAAAAUUAAGAAAAUGAUUUUCUCGUAUUCGGUUUUAUUAAGGAAAAUAUUUAAAAAAAAAAACAAAUAUAAUUCAAAAUGAUUAGAAAUUUAUGUAUUUUCAAAUUAUUUAAUCAUUAUAUAAAAAUUAAAAUAAAUAAAAUGAGUUGACAUAAAAAAAAUUUAUUGAUAUUAAAUAUAUUUUUUAUUUUCCUUCGUUAUAUCUUUCCUUCUACUUUCUUCUUUGUUUUCUUUCUUUUGUAUUUUUCAGCAAAUUUUCUAGGAAUCAAACAUUACCUUAAGAAAUAGAGAAACAAUUGUAAAAAUAUUUUUCUCCUCAUUUUUUUUUUCUACUUUCAUAAAAGUGAGGAAUUUUUUUUUAAAUAGAAAAACAAACAAGAAACAACUUUUAUAAUUUUUUCAUAUUUCUUUAUUUCCUUAUAUUUUUCUUCUAUUUUCUUUUCUUGAACCUUUUGGGAACUAAAUAUAUAUUAAAAAAUGAAGUAUAAUAUAAAUAAAAUAUAUAAAAAACAUAAUACAUAAAAAAGAUAAUUAUAAAUAUUUUUCAAUAUUAGCACAAUUUCUUUGGAAAAUUACUAAUUUACUAUUAUGUACAUAUUUUUUAAAAUCUUUACUAAUUUAUUAUGUACAUAUAUGAAUAAGAAAAUAACUUAAUUUUAUUUAAUAAUUUAAUUGUAUUUAAUAAUUUAAUUGUAUUUAAUAAUUUAAUUGUACUUGACCUUAACUAAAAUUGCACUAGGGUAAAAUCAAAGAAUCAUUCACAUUAUCAUUUUUCCACUACAAGAAUAAAAUAUUUGUUAGAGUUGUUCAUUAUACAUUUUUUUUAUUGCAAAUUAAAUCAUAAUUAUGAAAUUUCAAAAAAUUAAUUAGUUUUAUUUCAAAAUUUAAUUAAUUUUAUUUAUUACCUAAUAUUAUAUAUAAAAAAACUCUAAUUCUAUGUUUGAUUCCUGGAAGUAGUAAGAAAAGAAGAAAAAAAUCAUAAAGAAAAUAGUUUUCUCGUGUUUGGUUUCAUUAAAAAAAUAUGAAAGAAAAUCAAAUAUAAUUAAAAUUAAUUAAAAUUUUAUGAAUUUGAAAAUUAUUUUAUUUUUAUAUAAUAGAGAAAAAUAAGUGAAAUGGGUUUGAAAAAACAUUUUAAAAUAAUUCAUUAACUUUGAAUCUACUUUUUAUUUUCCUUCUACUUUUUCUUUUCAUAGUCUAUUAAUUUUUACUAAUUUAUUAUGCACUUCCUAAACUAUUAUUUUUAUUUAAACAUUAUUACUGAACUAUUUCUUUAAUUAAAACAAAAUUUCUAAGCUAUCAAACGCUCAAUUUCACAUACACCCAAUAAAUAUAUAUAAAAAAAAUAUUUAUAGAUACCAAUAAAAAUGAAACUAAAUAAAAGUAGGAAAAUAAAAUAAGUACCCAAACAAAAGCUUACAAUAAGCUCAAUGCCUCACUUACACCUUCAGUGAGCCUCCUUUUCUUUCAUAAAAUUUGGUUCUCCACGUGUCAUAAAUUUACGCUCACCCAAUGCAAUACCAAUAACAGAAUAGGGUCAUGCAAAACAAAAGGGAGUCCAAAGUAAAUAUGCAUAGCCUAAAAUAAUUCAAGCCCAAAUGUAAUAAACCCAAAAACAUCCUUCAAAUUGAUCUAACAAAUUUCACUACUAAAAAAAAUGGACCCAAAAUUAGCGACAAAAAUAUCUCACAUCCCAUAAACCUUAAUCCAAGAUUCCGAAUUAAUCAGCAAAAUACAAGUACAAUUAACCAAGCCCAAAAUAUGACAAAACAAGAUAAAUUCAAUUAGACCUAAAUUUAAUAUCUCAUAAUUCAAGUCUAAUUUAAUAUACAAAUCGAAUCCUAAACCAAAAUCAAGCUCAAUUUAAUAAAUGUAUAACUAAACAAGUUAAGCAAGCCCAAAUUUCCCAAACCACUACCUAGAAAUCAAAUAAUAAUAAUAAUAAUAACAACAAAAGAAAAUAAAAUAAAAUAAAAUGAAAAUAAAAAUUUUACCUCACGCUUGAAGCCUAAAGUGGAGAAGAAGGUUGUGCAGCAAGAUGCACUGGGUUUGGGUGUCGCGGGUAAAUAGAGUGUGGGAAGAGGGUCUGAUGGUGAGGUCGUGUGAGUGUGUGUGUGGGGAGAAGAAAUAAAGGAAAGUAAGAGAGAAAAUGGGGAAGAAAGAGAGAAGGGAGAAGGAAGGGCUGUGUCUCUGUGAGUGGCCAUGUGUGGUGAGGGGGAGAGUGAAGAAAAAAUGGAAUGAAAAAAUGAGAGAAAAAAGGAGAAAAGAAAAUGGAAAGGGAAAGAAGAGGAGAGAGAGUGGGGGGAGUGUGGGCAGAGAUAAAAAGGAGGAAAGAAAAAAAAAAAAAUAAAGAAAAAAU
RNAcentral lists this long non-coding RNA (5798 nucleotides) under Vitis vinifera (wine grape). RNAcentral describes it as "long non-coding RNA (VVIN_LNC005298)". The record is from RNAcentral. Lineage: Eukaryota; Viridiplantae; Streptophyta; Magnoliopsida; Vitales; Vitaceae.